CAGCAGCCGCGGUAAUACGUAGGGGGCGAGCGUUGUCCGAAGUUACUGGGCGUAAAGCGCGCGUAGGCGGCUUCUUAAGUCUGAGGUGAAAGGUUCAACGCUUAACGUGAACAGUGCCUUGGAUACUGGGGAGCUUGAGUAUGGGAGAGGGCAGUGGAAUGGCUGGUGUAGCGGUGAAAUGCGUAGAUAUCAGUCGGAACACCCAUGGCGAAGGCAGCUGCCUGGCCUAAUACUGACGCUGAGGUGCGAAAGCGUGGGGAGCGAACGGGAUUAGAUACCCGAGUAGUCCCUGUCUCUUAUA
This 301-nucleotide ribosomal RNA is filed under the name uncultured bacterium. RNAcentral's name for it is "partial 16S ribosomal RNA". It matches the Rfam family "Bacterial small subunit ribosomal RNA", at positions 509 to 808 of the family's 1533-position model. The record is from RNAcentral.